GAUGAACGCUGGCGGCGUGCCUAAUACAUGCAAGUCGAGCGAACAGACGAGGAGCUUGCUCCUCUGACGUUAGCGGCGGACGGGUGAGUAACACGUGGAUAACCUACCUAUAAGACUGGGAUAACUUCGGGAAACCGGAGCUAAUACCGGAUAAUAUAUUGAACCGCAUGGUUCAAUAGUGAAAGACGGUUUUGCUGUCACUUAUAGAUGGAUCCGCGCCGCAUUAGCUAGUUGGUAAGGUAACGGCCUACCAAGGCAACGAUGCGUAGCCGACCUGAGAGGGUGAUCGGCCACACUGGAACUGAGACACGGUCCAGACUCCUACGGGAGGCAGCAGUAGGGAAUCUUCCGCAAAGGGCGAAAGCUUGACGGAGCAACGCCGCGUGAGUGAUGAAGGUCUUCGGAUCGUAAAACUCUGUUAUUAGGGAAGAACAAAUGUGUAAGUAACUAUGCACGUCUUGACGGUACCUAAUCAGAAAGCCACGGCUAACUACGUG
This 497-nucleotide ribosomal RNA is filed under the name uncultured bacterium. RNAcentral describes it as "partial 16S ribosomal RNA". It matches the Rfam family "Bacterial small subunit ribosomal RNA", at positions 28 to 507 of the family's 1533-position model. The record is from RNAcentral.